RNAcentral lists this ribosomal RNA (876 nucleotides) under Didymella nigricans. RNAcentral's name for it is "eukaryotic LSU rRNA". It matches the Rfam family "Eukaryotic large subunit ribosomal RNA", at positions 80 to 974 of the family's 3401-position model. Lineage: Eukaryota; Fungi; Ascomycota; Dothideomycetes; Pleosporales; Didymellaceae. The record is from RNAcentral.
CUAGUAACGGCGAGUGAAGCGGCAACAGCUCAAAUUUGAAAUCUGGCGUCUUCGGCGUCCGAGUUGUAAUUUGCAGAGGGCGCUUUGGCAUUGGCAGCGGUCCAAGUUCCUUGGAACAGGACGUCACAGAGGGUGAGAAUCCCGUACGUGGUCGCUAGCCUUUACCGUGUAAAGCCCCUUCGACGAGUCGAGUUGUUUGGGAAUGCAGCUCUAAAUGGGAGGUAAAUUUCUUCUAAAGCUAAAUACUGGCCAGAGACCGAUAGCGCACAAGUAGAGUGAUCGAAAGAUGAAAAGCACUUUGGAAAGAGAGUUAAAAAGCACGUGAAAUUGUUGAAAGGGAAGCGCUUGCAGCCAGACUUGCCUGUAGUUGCUCAUCCGGGUUUCUACCCGGUGCACUCUUCUAUAGGCAGGCCAGCAUCAGUUUGGGCGGUUGGAUAAAGGUCUCUGUCAUGUACCUCUCUUCGGGGAGAACUUAUAGGGGAGACGACAUGCAACCAGCCUGGACUGAGGUCCGCGCAUCUGCUAGGAUGCUGGCGUAAUGGCUGUAAGCGGCCCGUCUUGAAACACGGACCAAGGAGUCUAACAUCUAUGCGAGUGUUUGGGUGUCAAGCCCGAGCGCGUAAUGAAAGUGAACGGAGGUGGGAACCUUUCGGGGUGCACCAUCGACCGAUCCUGAUGUCUUCGGAUGGAUUUGAGUAAGAGCAUAGCUGUUGGGACCCGAAAGAUGGUGAACUAUGCUUGAAUAGGGUGAAGCCAGAGGAAACUCUGGUGGAGGCUCGCAGCGGUUCUGACGUGCAAAUCGAUCGUCAAAUUUGGGCAUAGGGGCGAAAGACUAAUCGAACUAUCUAGUAGCUGGUUCCUGCCGAAGUUUCCCUC